This 21-nucleotide non-coding RNA is filed under the name Arabidopsis thaliana (thale cress). Lineage: Eukaryota; Viridiplantae; Streptophyta; Magnoliopsida; Brassicales; Brassicaceae. The record is from RNAcentral.
UAAGGAGGGUGCUGUAAAGUC